GGGGUUGUCAUAUAACCUGGCAUUAUGCGAGGCUCCAGACCUCGUCAUUGGGGUUCAAAUCCCUACAACCCCA
This 73-nucleotide transfer RNA is filed under the name Candidatus Aenigmatarchaeota archaeon. Its description in RNAcentral is "tRNA-Trp". It matches the Rfam family "tRNA". Rfam says of the family: Transfer RNA (tRNA) molecules are approximately 80 nucleotides in length. Their secondary structure includes four short double-helical elements and three loops (D, anti-codon, and T loops). The record is from RNAcentral. Lineage: Archaea; Nanobdellati; Candidatus Aenigmatarchaeota.